RNAcentral lists this small RNA (124 nucleotides) under Erwinia pyrifoliae. RNAcentral describes it as "RtT sRNA". It matches the Rfam family "RtT RNA". From Rfam's summary of the family: This family represents a bacterial cis-regulatory element known as RtT RNA. The exact function of RtT is unknown although it is thought that it may be involved in changing the cellular response in relation to amino acid starvation. Lineage: Bacteria; Pseudomonadati; Pseudomonadota; Gammaproteobacteria; Enterobacterales; Erwiniaceae. The record is from RNAcentral.
UUUUCGCCUGAAGCCAACAGGAUGAGAACCUCCGAAGGAGGUUUGAGCCGGGCGAAGCGAGACAACGUUGCUUCAGCAACGGCCCGAAGGGCGGCUCAACGAGCCGUAAUCCUACUCGCUACCA